RNAcentral lists this ribosomal RNA (431 nucleotides) under uncultured bacterium. RNAcentral describes it as "bacterial SSU rRNA". It matches the Rfam family "Bacterial small subunit ribosomal RNA", at positions 487 to 918 of the family's 1533-position model. The record is from RNAcentral.
GAAGCACCGGCUAACUCCGUGCCAGCAGCCGCGGUAAUACGGAGGGUGCGAGCGUUAAUCGGAAUUACUGGGCGUAAAGCGUACGCAGGCGGUUUGUUAAGCGAGAUGUGAAAGCCCCGGGCUCAACCUGGGAACUGCAUUUCGAACUGGCAAACUAGAGUGUGAUAGAGGGUGGUAGAAUUUCAGGUGUAGCGGUGAAAUGCGUAGAGAUCUGAAGGAAUACCGAUGGCGAAGGCAGCCACCUGGGUCAACACUGACGCUCAUGUACGAAAGCGUGGGGAGCAAACGGGAUUAGAUACCCCGGUAGUCCACGCCGUAAACGAUGUCUACUAGAAGCUCGGAACCUCGGUUCUGUUUUUCAAAGCUAACGCAUUAAGUAGACCGCCUGGGGAGUACGGCCGCAAGGUUAAAACUCAAAUGAAUUGACGGGG